GAUGAACGCUGGCGGCGUGCCUAAUACAUGCAAGUCGAGCGAACAGACGAGGAGCUUGCUCCUCUGGCGUUAGCGGCGGACGGGUGAGUAACACGUGGAUAACCUACCUAUAAGACUGGGAUAACUUCGGGAAACCGGAGCUAAUACCGGAUAAUAUAUUGAACCGCAUGGUUCAAUAGUGAAAGACGGUUUUGCUGUCACUUAUAGAUGGAUCCGCGCCGCAUUAGCUAGUUGGUAAGGUAACGGCUUACCAAGGCAACGAUGCGUAGCCGACCUGAGAGGGUGAUCGGCCACACUGGAACUGAGACACGGUCCAGACUCCUACGGGAGGCAGCAGUAGGGAAUCUUCCGCAAUGGGCGAAAGCCUGACGGAGCAACGCCGCGUGAAUGAUGAAGGUCUUCGGAUCGUAAAACUCUGUUAUUAGGGAAGAACAAAUGUGUAAGUAACUAUGCACGUCUUGACGGUACCUAAUCAGAAAGCCACGGCUAACUACGUG
This 497-nucleotide ribosomal RNA is filed under the name uncultured bacterium. RNAcentral describes it as "partial 16S ribosomal RNA". It matches the Rfam family "Bacterial small subunit ribosomal RNA", at positions 28 to 507 of the family's 1533-position model. The record is from RNAcentral.